UAGUUCCUACGGGGGGCAGCAGUGGGGGAUAUUGCACAAUGGGGGAAACCCUGAUGCAGCGACGCCGCGUGGGCGAAGAAGUAUUUCGGUAUGUAAAGCCCUAUCAGCAGGGAAGAAGAAAUGACGGUACCUGAGUAAAAAGCACCGGCUAAAUACGUGCCAGCAGCCGCGGUAAUACGUAUGGAGCAAGCGUUAUCCGGAUUUACUGGGUGUAAAGGGCGCGCAGGCGGCACGGCAAGCCUGAUGCGAAAGCCCGUGGCCCAACCGAGGGACUGCAUUGGGAACUACCGGGCUGGAGUGCCGGG
RNAcentral lists this ribosomal RNA (305 nucleotides) under uncultured bacterium. RNAcentral describes it as "bacterial SSU rRNA". It matches the Rfam family "Bacterial small subunit ribosomal RNA", at positions 333 to 653 of the family's 1533-position model. The record is from RNAcentral.